AAGUGCCGUCCUCCAAGUUGUCUGCGGGGCACACUGCGGCCAUCGUAGUGGGCGUGAUUGUGGCCGUCGGCCUUGUCGGCCUUGUCCUGGCCGUCAAACUACGCCUGUGUGAGUCAUCCAGCUCUCCCCCCCCCCCCAGGAAGUUCCCUCCUCGGGUUUGGGCCUGGCUUCCCAGGCUCCUGAAACGCAGAGAGGGCGUGGAGAGGACGGCGGAGGCCAGGACAGGAGCCGAGGGGCAGAGGGACAGGCCUGGGACCUCUGGGAGGCCGGAGCAGGGAGACCAGAAGCUGAAGCCCAGGGAGGGCAGGGGGCAGGGGGCAGAGACCAUCAGAUAAAGCCAAGUGAAACCGGCUGGGCGCAGAGGGCCAGAGUGAGCUCGGUCAUCAGUCCCGGGCCCAGGCGCUGUGCCCAGGCCGGGGGGAGGGGGCAAAGGGGGUCGCUGCCAACAAGCGGCUCUGCAGGAGCUCCCCUCCCCCUCUCAACGUCCUUGACACUGGGACUGCCCCCCUCCCCCGUUUUACAUUGAGCCUUGGAGGGGCCAGCAGCUGACCCAGGACCCUGGGACCCGAAUGGAGCCGGAUGGAGAGCAAAAAGCAGGCUCAGGGGCAAGUUCCUCCUUUUACAAAUGAGGAAACUAAGGCUCAGGGAAGUUUGGGUGACUCUCAAAGUCAAACAAAGCAAGUGGCAGGAGCUGAGGCCUCCUGAGUGCCCCGCAUUCCUCCCACUGGCACCCAAACUAGACUCCAGUCCCCAGAACUGGGGGGGCUUCCAGAACGAGAAGAACUGAGGAGUUCUAGGAAAGUGGGAAGGGCUGGGAGGUCAUUUAGAACCCAAGAUGUCAGGGCUGGGAGGAGCCUGAAAGGCCCCCCUGUUCAGCCCCUCCCUGGAUUUGCCCGGCGCUGUGUGGCGGUGGCAGAGCCGGCAGGAGACCCCCGCCAAAUCUCCCCGGCCAAACUAGUGUUCUGCUCCCCGAACUAAACAUCAUGUGCUCACGGCUGCUUCCUCUCCUCCAGGUCGAGGCUGUAAUAGGAACUCACCUGAAAUGGAAGUCUCCUACGCUUCCGUGCCCUCCACUACCAACCCACCCAGGCCGACCCAGGAUAGCGUGGCAGAUGACACCAACCCAAAUGGCAGACAGAGCCUGGCUGAGUGACGGACCCUCCCAGCCUCCUCAAGCCAGAAGAGGAUCAGCCUUUCGCACCUUCCUGGCCCACAAAGCUCCUCUGGCCUCCACUGGAUGGGGACCAGCCUGUUGGGAAGAGCUCAGGCAUAAGCAUCAGGACACUGGACUCUGCCCCUGGGAGCCCACUAGUAGGGUGCAUGAGCAUGAACAAGAUCCUUACUCCUUCCUGUCCUCAGUUUCCCCAUCCAAAAAGAGAAGGCCAAUCCACAAGCAUUUAUCAAGCACUUACAUGAGACACACCAGGUUAGAGAAGCAUCCCACGUGUUCUUGGGGGGCUAUUUGUGCCUGACCCAUGGCAGAGCACUCCAAGGCCUGAUCAGCCACAGCAGGACACACUGCAACUCUUGGUUCUCUUUGAAAAGAAAGGACAACAACAGGCUGAGAUCCUCCAGUUCCUGACCUCUCCUCACCCAAGACUUGGGAUAUUUUUAUUUUUGUAAUUAUUUUUAAUAAUUUAUUACUUAAUUUAUUAAUAAAAUGCUCCUGCUACCAAUCUGGGUCCCCAGUGUGAAGAACUGGAAACAGGGGACAAGUGGGAGGCAGCCCUCACCCCAGGAGGGGAAAGGCAAGGGAUGGGGUCAAAGUCCCCCAAAGUUUCCUGUUUGUAGCAUGAUGUUGUAGAGUGAGCACUGGCUCAGGAACUAGCGGGCCUGGGUUCAGGUUCCACCAUCUUUGACAUUUACUGCUUCUAUGACCUUCACCUGGGUCACCAACCUUCCCGGGUCUCGAUGUCCUUACCCCUCAUAUAAAGAGUUAGGCCUUUGGGGUCCCCUCCAGCCCACAAUGUAAAAUGCUCCAGUAAACUGUCAAAUGGUUGGAUUCUCAGUCCCAUUCAGGUCCAGAUGUGUGAGUCCUGAUAUAAUCCAAACAUAGGGCCACAGCUUUUGACCAGAGGCCUCCACCUCCACCCUGAUGGCUCCCAGUUCCAAAGCCCCACCUCCAGUCUGUGACAACCACACUAGCACCCAGGACACCCCAGAAUCAGCUGUAGUCAGGAUAAGCAAAAGUCCUUAAUCUUUAUUCUCGGUCCCCAGA
RNAcentral lists this long non-coding RNA (2218 nucleotides) under Sarcophilus harrisii (Tasmanian devil). Its description in RNAcentral is "lncRNA (ENSSHAG00000030688.1)". The record is from RNAcentral. Lineage: Eukaryota; Metazoa; Chordata; Mammalia; Dasyuromorphia; Dasyuridae.